CCUACGGGAGGCAGCAGUGGGGAAUAUUGCACAAUGGGCGCAAGCCUGAUGCAGCCAUGCCGCGUGUGUGAAGAAGGCCUUCGGGUUGUAAAGCACUUUCAGCGGGGAGGAAGGCGGUGAGAUUAAUAACCUCAUCGAUUGGCGUUACCCGCAGAAGAAGCACCGGCUAACUCCGUGCCAGCAGCCGCGGUAAUACGGAGGGAGCAAGCGUUAAUCGGAAUUACUGGGCGUAAAGCGCACGCAGGCGGUCUGUCAAGUCGGAUGUGAAAUCCCCGGGCUCAACCUGGGAACUGCAUUCGAAACUGGCAGGCUAGAGUCUUGUAGAGGGGGGUAGAAUUCCAGGUGUAGCGGUGAAAUGCGUAGAGAUCUGGAGGAAUACCGGUGGCGAAGGCGGCCCCCUGGACAAAGACUGACGCUCAGGCGCGAAAGCGUGGGGAGCAAACAGGAUUAGAUACCCUCGUAGUC
Molecule: ribosomal RNA, 465 nt
Filed under: uncultured bacterium
Lineage: Bacteria
Description: bacterial SSU rRNA
Rfam family: Bacterial small subunit ribosomal RNA
Source: RNAcentral